UUUAUGUUCAUGUUUCUUUCUUGUUUUUAGCUAUUUCUAUUUUAUUUGUUUCAAAAUACCACUUUUUCGUAGAUUUUUCGAAAUUAGGAUUGUGCAAACUUAUUUUUUCAUGAUAAGCUUCAGUUAUAGGGAAAACGGGAAAGUAUAUAGAGUUUAAGGGAUUAAAUUCUAGGACUAGGGACAUUGGGAAAGUUUGACAACUUAGGUAUU
Molecule: long non-coding RNA, 210 nt
Filed under: Lathyrus oleraceus (garden pea)
Lineage: Eukaryota; Viridiplantae; Streptophyta; Magnoliopsida; Fabales; Fabaceae
Description: Pisum sativum (pea) long non-coding RNA (PSAT_LNC023231)
Source: RNAcentral